RNAcentral lists this transfer RNA (79 nucleotides) under Monodelphis domestica (gray short-tailed opossum). It matches the Rfam family "tRNA". From Rfam's summary of the family: Transfer RNA (tRNA) molecules are approximately 80 nucleotides in length. Their secondary structure includes four short double-helical elements and three loops (D, anti-codon, and T loops). Further hydrogen bonds mediate the characteristic L-shaped molecular structure. tRNAs have two regions of fundamental functional importance: the anti-codon, which is responsible for specific mRNA codon recognition, and the 3' end, to which the tRNAs corresponding amino acid is attached (by aminoacyl-tRNA synthetases). tRNAs cope with the degeneracy of the genetic code in two manners: having more than one tRNA (with a specific anti-codon) for a particular amino acid; and 'wobble' base-pairing, i.e. permitting non-standard base-pairing at the 3rd anti-codon position. Lineage: Eukaryota; Metazoa; Chordata; Mammalia; Didelphimorphia; Didelphidae. The record is from Rfam by way of RNAcentral.
AGCUAGGUGGCUAACUGGAGAAAGCACUAGGCUUGGAAUCAGGAAGACAUCUUUGCAAGUUCAAAUCUUGCCUCAGCCA